CCUACGGGGGGCAGCAGUGGGGAAUAUUGCACAAUGGGGGAAACCCUGAUGCAGCAACGCCGCGUGCGUGAAGAAGUAUUUCGGUAUGUAAAGCUCUAUCAGCAGGGAAGAAGAAAGACGGUACCUGACUAAGAAUCCCAGGCUAACUACGUGCCAGCAGCCGCGGUAAUACGUAGGGGGCAAGCGUUAUCCGGAUUUACUGGGUGUAAAGGGAGCGUAGGCGGCUGUGAAAGUCUGAAGUGAAAGCCCGUGGCUCAACCGCGGAACUGCUGUGGAAACUGUAUAGCUUGAGUACUGGAGAGGCAGUCGGAAUUCCUAGUGUAGCGGUGAAAUGCGUAGAUAUUAGGAGGAACACCAGUGGCGAAGG
This 367-nucleotide ribosomal RNA is filed under the name uncultured bacterium. RNAcentral describes it as "partial 16S ribosomal RNA". It matches the Rfam family "Bacterial small subunit ribosomal RNA", at positions 338 to 721 of the family's 1533-position model. The record is from RNAcentral.